GUCCUUUUGCGCAUUUUGCCUUUCCUAGUGCUCGAACUUUUGUUCUGAUCCCUUAGUAAAGCAUCCUCAAUUUGCUAUAAAUUGCAUAACCAUUAGCUAUACGAAAAUGAAUCUAAUAGAAAUUCACUCGCAGCAGAAUCUGGGCUAAGCGAACAAGAACUCCAAUAAUAUGUCAUCAAAUCCCAUGAGAUCAUUGUUUGUACUCUUCCUUGCACUCGCUUUUGUGUUGGAGGCAUUACAAGGGGCCGAUGCCAGGAGCUGGCUAAGUUUGAAGGAGCGCUGGCUACUCAAUGGCCCGAGCAUGGGCCUCAAGGCUAGCGCUGGAACUGCCACAGACUCAUCGCAAGGUACUUUGUCAACACCAACAACCACCACGAUAUCUUCUUUUCCAGUGGCCUCCAGCACCUCAACCACGAAGACUGACUCUUCAUCACCAACCGGCAACUCAACUGACGCUAGACCUGGGACUGGAUCCUCCUCUGCCGCCGAUGGCAAUGAAGACAGCACGUUCUGGGGCGGACCAAGCACCUCCACCACACACCACACAUACGUCGACUAUAACCAUCCCAAUCCCAGGAACCACGCGUAGAAAGGGUUGCUGAGUGGUGAUGAUGGAGACUUCGUUGGUUGGUCUUCUUAUCUUAAUCAAACGUGUGUAAAUAUGUGCAUGUUAUAUCCCUAGCUAGGUAGAUAAGGUGGAACAUCUAUCCUCCAAAGAGGCCAAAGGCUUAGAAACAUUAAUUAUGGCCACGUGUAGUGUCUUUUGGUUCCAUGGAAAGUUGGAAUCGUAUUUUCCUGUGGCUGUAAAUGUAUUUGUGCGUAUUUUCUUCGUAUCAUGUCGUGUUUUUCAUCUUUCUCUAUA
Molecule: non-coding RNA, 862 nt
Organism: Punica granatum (pomegranate)
Lineage: Eukaryota; Viridiplantae; Streptophyta; Magnoliopsida; Myrtales; Lythraceae
Source: RefSeq, a predicted model, not a curated record